Molecule: ribosomal RNA, 478 nt
Filed under: uncultured bacterium
Lineage: Bacteria
Description: partial 16S ribosomal RNA
Rfam family: Bacterial small subunit ribosomal RNA
Source: RNAcentral
GAUGAACGCUGGCGGCGUGCUUAACACAUGCAAGUCGAACGAGAAGUGAAGACGGAAACCUUCGGGCGGAAGGCUUUAUUUCGAGUGGCGGACGGGUGAGUAACGCGUGGGUAACCUGCCUCAUACAGGGGGAUAACAGUUGGAAACGACUGUUAUUACCGCAUAAGACCACAGCACCGCAUGGUGCGGGGGUAAAAACUCCGGUGGUAUGAGAUGGACCCGCGUUCGAUUAGCCAGUUGGCGGGGUAACGGCCCACCAAAGCGACGAUCGAUAGCCGAUCUGAGAGGAUGACCGGCCACAUUGGGACUGAGACACGGCCCAAACUCCUACGGGAGGCAGCAGUGGGGAAUAUUGCACAAUGGGGGAAACCCUGAUGCAGCGACGCCGCGUGAGUGAAGAAGUAUUUCGGUAUGUAAAGCUCUAUCAGCAGGGAAGAAAAUGACGGUACCUGAGUAAGAAGCCCCGGCUAACUACGUG